This 442-nucleotide ribosomal RNA is filed under the name uncultured bacterium. RNAcentral's name for it is "partial 16S ribosomal RNA". It matches the Rfam family "Bacterial small subunit ribosomal RNA", at positions 338 to 795 of the family's 1533-position model. The record is from RNAcentral.
CCUACGGGAGGCAGCAGUGGGGAAUAUUGGGCAAUGGGCGAAAGCCUGACCCAGCAACGCCGCGUGAAGGAAGAAGGCUUUCGGGUUGUAAACUUCUUUUGACAGGGAAGAGCAGAAGACGGUACCUGUCGAAUAAGCCACGGCUAACUACGUGCCAGCAGCCGCGGUAAUACGUAGGUGGCAAGCGUUGUCCGGAUUUACUGGGUGUAAAGGGCGUGUAGCCGGGCUGACAAGUCAGAUGUGAAAUCCGGGGGCUCAACCCCCGAACUGCAUUUGAAACUGUUGGUCUUGAGUAUCGGAGAGGCAGGCGGAAUUCCUAGUGGAGCGGUGAAAUGCGUAGAUAUUAGGAGGAACACCAGUGGCGAAGGCAGCCUGCUGGACGACAACUGACGGUGAGGCGCGAAAGCGUGGGGAGCAAACAGGAUUAGAUACCCCAGUAGUC